This 424-nucleotide ribosomal RNA is filed under the name uncultured bacterium. RNAcentral's name for it is "partial 16S ribosomal RNA". It matches the Rfam family "Bacterial small subunit ribosomal RNA", at positions 360 to 776 of the family's 1533-position model. The record is from RNAcentral.
AUUUUUGGACAAUGUGCGCAAGCCUGAUCCAGCCAUGCCUCGCGAGUUAAUAUGGCCUUCGGGUUGUAAAGCAUUUCCGGACGGAAAGAAAUCGCGCAAGCUACUACCCUGCGAGGAUUACGGUACCGUCAUAAGAAGCACCGGCUAACUAAGUUUCAGACUCCGCGGUAAGAUGUAGGGUGCGAGCGCUAAUCGGAAUUACUGGGCGUAAAGCGUGCGCAGGCGGUUGAUUAAGACAGGCGUGAAAUCCCCGGGCUUACCCUGGGAACUGCGCUUGUGACUGGUCAGCUAGAGUACGGCAGAGGGGGGUGGAAUUCCACGUGUAGCAGUGAAAUGCGUAGAGAUGUGGAGGAACACCGAUGGCGAAGGCAGCCCCCUGGGCCGAUACUGACGCUCAUGCACGAAAGCGUGGGUAGCAAACAGG